Molecule: ribosomal RNA, 253 nt
Filed under: uncultured bacterium
Lineage: Bacteria
Description: partial 16S ribosomal RNA
Rfam family: Bacterial small subunit ribosomal RNA
Source: RNAcentral
UACAGAGGUCCCAAGCGUUGUUCGGAUUUACUGGGCGUAGAGGGUGCGUAGGUGGUGAGGUAAGUCUGAUGUGAAAUCUCCGAGCUUAACUCGGAAAUGGCAUUGGAAACUACCUUGCUAGAGGGUUGGAGGGGGGACUGGAAUACUUGGUGUAGCAGUGAAAUGCGUAGAUAUCAAGUGGAACACCAGUGGCGAAGGCGGCCAUCUGGACCGGCACUGACGCUGAGGCGCGAAAGCGUGGGGAGCAAACAGG